UNGACUUUUCCAUAUCACCACCUAUGUGCCUC
This 32-nucleotide non-coding RNA is filed under the name Mus musculus (house mouse). Lineage: Eukaryota; Metazoa; Chordata; Mammalia; Rodentia; Muridae. The record is from RNAcentral.